GACGAACCGUGCGAACGUUGUUCGGAUUCACUGGGCUUAAAGGGCGCGUAGGCGGACUCGCCAGUCUGUGGUGAAAGCCCCCAGCUCAACUGGGGAAGGGCCGUGGAUACUGCGAGUCUGGAGGAGGGUAGGGGCAUCUGGAACGCUGGGUGGAGCGGUGAAAUGCGUUGAUAUCCAGCGGAACUCCGGUGGCGAAGGCGAGGUGCUGGACCCUUUCUGACGCUGAGGCGCGAAAGCCAGGGGAGCGAACGGG
Molecule: ribosomal RNA, 253 nt
Filed under: uncultured bacterium
Lineage: Bacteria
Description: partial 16S ribosomal RNA
Rfam family: Bacterial small subunit ribosomal RNA
Source: RNAcentral